CGGUAGAGAGAAGCUUGCUUCUCUUGAGAGCGGCGGACGGGUGAUUAAACCCUAGGAAUCUGCCUGGUAGUGGGGGAUAACGUUCGGAAACGGACGCUAAUACCGCAUACGUCCUACGGGAGAAAGCAGGGGACCUUCGGGCCUUGCGCUAUCAGAUGAGCCUAGGUCGGAUUAACUAGUUGGUGAGGUAAUGGCUCACCAAGGCGACGAUCCGUAACUGGUCUGAGAGGAUGAUCAGUCACACUGGAACUGAGACACGGUCCA
Molecule: ribosomal RNA, 264 nt
Filed under: uncultured Pseudomonas sp.
Lineage: Bacteria; Pseudomonadati; Pseudomonadota; Gammaproteobacteria; Pseudomonadales; Pseudomonadaceae
Description: partial 16S ribosomal RNA
Rfam family: Bacterial small subunit ribosomal RNA
Source: RNAcentral